RNAcentral lists this ribosomal RNA (959 nucleotides) under uncultured bacterium. Its description in RNAcentral is "bacterial SSU rRNA". It matches the Rfam family "Bacterial small subunit ribosomal RNA", at positions 8 to 971 of the family's 1533-position model. The record is from RNAcentral.
AGAGUUUGAUCCUGGCUCAGAACGAACGCUGGCGGCGUGCUUAACACAUGCAAGUCGAGUGCGCGUCUGUAGCAAUACAGAUGGCGCACGGCGCACGGGUGCGUAACACGUGGGCAAUCUGCCCUUCGAUGGGGAAUAACUCCGGGAAACCGAAGCUAAUUCCGCAUAACAUUCCUUGGACCUCGGUUCGGGGACUCAAAGCCGUAAGGCGUCGAAGGAGGAGCCCGCGCCCGAUUAGCUAGUUGGUGAGGUAACGGCUCACCAAGGCAAUGAUCGGUAGCUGGUCUGAGAGGAUGGCCAGCCACACUGGAACUGAGACACGGUCCAGACUCCUACGGGAGGCAGCAGUGGGGAAUCUUGCGCAAUGGGCGAAAGCCUGACGCAGCGACGCCGCGUGGGGGAUGAAGCAUCUCGGUGUGUAAACCCCUUUCGACUGGGACGAAUGCCUCGCAAGAGGAGUGACGGUACCAGUAGAAGAAGCCCCGGCUAACUACGUGCCAGCAGCCGCGGUAAGACGUAGGGGGCCAGCGUUGUUCGGAAUUACUGGGUGUAAAGGGUUCGUAGGCGGUGUGGCAAGUCGGGAGUGAAAUCUAUGGGCUUAACCCAUAGGCUGUUUCCGAAACUGCCGUGCUUGAGUGUGGGAGAGGCGCGUGGAAUUGCAGGUGUAGCGGUGAAAUGCGUAGAUAUCUGCAGGAACACCCGUGGCGAAAGCGGCGCGCUGGACCACUACUGACGCUGAGGAACGAAAGCUAGGGGAGCAAACAGGAUUAGAUACCCUGGUAGUCCUAGCCCUAAACGAUCAGGACUUGGGGUGCCACCCGUUCGGGUGUCGUCCCGGAGCUAACGCGUUAAGUCCUGCACCUGGGGAGUACGGUCGCAAGACUGAAACUCAAAGGAAUUGACGGGGCCCGCACAAGCGGUGGAACAUGUGGUUCAAUUCGACGCUACGCGAGGAACCU